GUUGACCUCGGAUCAGUAGGAAU
This 23-nucleotide ribosomal RNA is filed under the name Phaeoacremonium rubrigenum. RNAcentral's name for it is "partial 26S ribosomal RNA". The record is from RNAcentral. Lineage: Eukaryota; Fungi; Ascomycota; Sordariomycetes; Togniniales; Togniniaceae.